AGCAUCUUAGUAUAAAUAAAUACACCUAAUUUCCAAUUAGAAGAUUAUAGAUGUUA
RNAcentral lists this transfer RNA (56 nucleotides) under Gordius sp. VVA-2019. RNAcentral's name for it is "tRNA-Gly". The record is from RNAcentral. Lineage: Eukaryota; Metazoa; Nematomorpha; Gordioida; Gordea; Gordiidae.